GACGAACGCUGGCGGCGUGCUUAACACAUGCAAGUCGAGCGGAAAGGCUCCUUCGGGGGUACUCGAGCGGCGAACGGGUGAGUAACACGUGAGUAAUCUGCCCUUGGCUUUGGGAUAAGCCCCGGAAACGGGUCUAAUACCGGAUACGACGCACUCUCGCAUGGGAUGUGUGUGGAAAAGUCUUUUCGGCCAGGGAUGUGCUCGCGGCCUAUCAGCUUGUUGGUGGGGUAAUGGCCUACCAAGGCUUCGACGGGUAGCCGGCCUGAGAGGGUGACCGGCCACACUGGGACUGAGACACGGCCCAGACUCCUACGGGAGGCAGCAGUGGGGAAUAUUGGACAAUGGGCGGAAGCCUGAUCCAGCAACGCCGCGUGAGGGAUGACGGCCUCGG
This 391-nucleotide ribosomal RNA is filed under the name uncultured bacterium. Its description in RNAcentral is "bacterial SSU rRNA". It matches the Rfam family "Bacterial small subunit ribosomal RNA", at positions 28 to 420 of the family's 1533-position model. The record is from RNAcentral.